Molecule: ribosomal RNA, 272 nt
Filed under: uncultured Prevotella sp.
Lineage: Bacteria; Pseudomonadati; Bacteroidota; Bacteroidia; Bacteroidales; Prevotellaceae
Description: partial 16S ribosomal RNA
Rfam family: Bacterial small subunit ribosomal RNA
Source: RNAcentral
CCUUGACGACGACUGGCGCACGGGUGAGUAACGCGUAUCCAACCUUCCCAUGACCACGGGAUAACCCGUUGAAAGACGGCCUAAUACCGUAUGACGUCGUUUGCCGACAUCGAAAGACGACCAAAGGUUUGGCGGUGAUGGAUGGGGAUGCGUCUGAUUAGCUUGUUGGCGGGUAACGGCCCACCAAGGCUACGAUCAGUAGGGGUUCUGAGAGGAAGGUCCCCCACAUUGGAACUGAGACACGGUCCAAACUCCUACGGGAGGCAGCAGCU